This is a non-coding RNA of Oryzias latipes (Japanese medaka), 2729 nucleotides long. The record is from RefSeq and is a predicted model, not a curated record. NCBI's taxonomy places the organism in Eukaryota, Metazoa, Chordata, Actinopteri, Beloniformes, Adrianichthyidae.
ACUGCGGUCGCGUGUGAGCGUGGCUGCUGUAGCGGUGUGUAGCGGUCUUUAGACCAGCGGGGGUCAUGUUCUGAGGUUGGAGGGUCUCCCUCCUCCACCGUCUCAGCUCCUGCAGCAGAUUCUGUGAGUUACCACGGCCUGGGGGGUCAUGGCACGUGGCAGAGCAGGGCGAACUGCGAGGAGGAGGCGGAGGCGUAAACGUGACGGCAGCACUCAGACUGAGUCUCUGGGUCACCAGCAGAAGUACGUGAGGCUGAUGAAGUUCCUCCAUGGGCGGGGCUUCACCUCCACCCCGCUGCAGCCCGCCCUUUUCUCCGACACAGACAGAGGACUGCAGACUCUCCAGCCGAUCCAGCCUGGCGGGAUGCUGGUUUCAUUGCCGGAGUCCUGCCUCCUCACCACCUCCACGGUUCUGCACAGCUACCUGGGGCCGUUCUUAAAGAGCUGGAAGCCCCGCCCUUCCUCCCUUGUGGCGCUUUGUGUCUUUCUGGUGUGCGAGCGGCACAGAGGCGAGGCCUCUGAUUGGUUCCCGUAUAUAGACGUCCUCCCCUGUUCCUACUGUUGCCCUCCUUAUUUCACCGACACUGUGAUGGCUGUCCUACCUUCUGGAGUUCGGAGGCGCGCUGAGGAGCAGAGGGAGGGGCUGCAACACCUUUACGCCGUCCACCAGGACUUCUUCAUGUCCCUGCAGCCGGUUCUGAGCCACCCCCCUGAGGAGGUGCUGACAUAUGAAGCUCUGAGGUGGGCCUGGUGCAGCAUCAACACCCGCUCCGUCUUCAUGGACCGCCCAUCCAGCAGCUUCCUGUCGGGACCGGAUAAUUACGCUUUAGCUCCGUUUCUGGACCUGCUGAAUCACCGCCCAGAUGUGCAGGUGAAAGCGGGUUUUAACCGGACCUCAGGAUGUUAUGAAAUCAGAAGCAUCUCUGGAGUCCAACGCUAUCACCAGGCCUUCAUCAACUACGGUUCCCAUGACAACCAACGCCUCCUGCUGGAAUACGGCUUUGUCUCCUCCUGCAACCCUCACAGUGUUAUCUAUGUAGAAGAAGAUUUGCUCUGUGAAGUUCUACGGGGGGAUGAAAGCCUGGAUGAGAAGAUGAAGUUUCUCAGAGAAAACGGUUUCCUUCAGAACCUGACGCUGUCCGAUGAAGGUCCCAGCUGGAGGCUCCUGACGGCCCUCAGGCUGCUCUCGCCGCUCCCAAUACCACGUCAGCGCUGGAGGACGCUGCUGCUCGGACAGAUGGUCAGCGAUGAGGAGGCGCAGCGCAGCGUUCAGACCGCCAAGACGCUGUGCGAGCGCCUGCUGAGGGAAACGAGGACGUCUCUGCAGGAGAUCUCCCACCUCCUCCAGCAGUCUGAGCGGCCAGUCAGGGAGCAGCUACAAGUGGUUGGGUCAUUGCGGAGGGAGGAGAGGUGCAUCCUGGGAAACUGCCUGGAGGUUCUAAAGUCUGCACUAGAGAUCUGACUUCUGAUGGGUGCAUUAGUCUGGACUGCUGCAGCUGCAGCAGGUUCUUCUUCGUCUGCCGUCACACCUGCUCCUCCUCCCGGAGGCGGCGGCUCAGCUUGUCCAGCACCACGGCCAGCUCCACCUUCCUGUCCAUCUUCAGACAGCUGUUUGGCCAGAACCAGCCUGGCCUGGAGAUUGUGGACAUCUGCAGGAGUCACCGAAGAGGAGGCGGCAGGAGGGACAGCCUCCACCUGCUUCUUGAUCUUUUGAAGGCGACACUUUAGAGCAGCAAGGUCCUCCUUACACAGAACCUGCAGACAGGUCACCCACCGGGUCAGAACCAGAACAAAGACAGAAAGCAGAAAAUAGUGCAGCAACUGUCGACCCCGGAGAUCUUCCUGGUUCACGCCCGACACAAACACUGAUGGCCUUAGAACAAAGCUGUGAGGCACAGAGGUGGAGUGUUCAUGAUGUGGGCUUUGCACACAGAACAUGCUUAAGCUCCAUGAAGCCAGUCCACUGCAGACCAGGCAUCAUCCUGUGGAGAGGAUCAUCUCAUGUUCAGGCCAGGGCUACAAAACCAGCUACAAGACCCGACCCGAGUCUUCCAAGCCUCUAACUGCUCAGAGUUCAAGUACAGCACAUGUGUCAGUCUCGGCCCGUGAGCCGGAACAUUGCAGUAGGUGUUAUAUCUUAUAAAUGUUUCAUAAAGCAGGCUGAAGAAUCAGUUAUCAUGAACUCUGGCAGUACUUUUUGACCACACAAUGUAAAACGUGACAAGGGGUUUGGUCAUCAUCCUGGUGCAGAAAGAAACAACCAUAACAGCAGGCCGACAACAAAACAGACAGAAACUCCCCGAUCCGCCCAGACAGGCAGAAGGAACGGUAUCCCACAAUUCCCAGCGCUGCAAGCAGGCCCAAACCCAAUGUGUCUGUGACCUUCACUAAAAUAUUAGCUACUAAUCCCAUCAUGCAGUGUGUGAGCUGCCUUGCCAGACAGCAGUGUCCCUGCCCAGGGGGGUGGGGGUAGGUGGUGGACAUCAUUGGGGGGGGGGUCAGCUCAUCACCUGUAACUGUCCUCUUAUGUGUCCCCUCUCUAAAUGACUUUGAUAUGGAUGAUGUGAUCAGUUUUAGCCCGCAGCACCGCCUCCAUCACCAAUAAACGGCUCAUGGCGUCUUCAGUUCACCCACGGCUCCGACAGGAUGUAUGCGAGGAGAAAAACGCGUAUUUUGGAAUAUUUAUACAUUAAUUUGUUACAUAAAAUUCCAUAAAUGUAAACAAAUCA